AGCCUCGUAGCUCAGAUGGUUAGAGCGUUUGGUGCAUCGAAGCUUGCCCCUUGCUGAUGUAGGUUCAAAUCCCACUGAGGUUA
This 83-nucleotide transfer RNA is filed under the name Schistocephalus solidus. It matches the Rfam family "tRNA". Rfam says of the family: Transfer RNA (tRNA) molecules are approximately 80 nucleotides in length. Their secondary structure includes four short double-helical elements and three loops (D, anti-codon, and T loops). Further hydrogen bonds mediate the characteristic L-shaped molecular structure. tRNAs have two regions of fundamental functional importance: the anti-codon, which is responsible for specific mRNA codon recognition, and the 3' end, to which the tRNAs corresponding amino acid is attached (by aminoacyl-tRNA synthetases). tRNAs cope with the degeneracy of the genetic code in two manners: having more than one tRNA (with a specific anti-codon) for a particular amino acid; and 'wobble' base-pairing, i.e. permitting non-standard base-pairing at the 3rd anti-codon position. Lineage: Eukaryota; Metazoa; Platyhelminthes; Cestoda; Diphyllobothriidea; Diphyllobothriidae. The record is from Rfam by way of RNAcentral.